This 487-nucleotide ribosomal RNA is filed under the name uncultured Leptotrichia sp. RNAcentral's name for it is "partial 16S ribosomal RNA". Lineage: Bacteria; Fusobacteriati; Fusobacteriota; Fusobacteriia; Fusobacteriales; Leptotrichiaceae. The record is from RNAcentral.
CACGUAUUUAGCCGUCGCUUCUUCUGCAGGUACCGUCAUUUUUUUCUUCCCUGCUGAAAGCACUUUACAAUCCGAAAACCUUCUUCGUGCACACAGAAUUGCUGGAUCAGGGUUGCCCCCAUUGUCCAAUAUUCCCCACUGCUGCCUCCCGUAGGAGUAAGGGCCGUAUCUCAGUCCCCUUGUGGCCGUCCACCCUCUCAGGCCGGCUACCUAUCAUUGCCUUGGUGGGCCCGUUACCCCACCAACAAGCUAAUAGGACGCAAGGCUCUCCUGCAGCAUUUCUUUCAUCAGACUGGACAUGAGUCCGUCUGACUUUAUCAGGUUUUUAUCAGUCGUUUCCGUCUUGUUAUCCCUGACUGCAGGGCAAGUUCCUUACGCGUUACUCACCCGUCCGCCUUGGCUAGACUGUGCAAGCACAGCUUUGCCAAAGACUUGCAUGUGUUAAGCAUUCUGUCAGCGUUCACUCCUGAGCCAGGAUACAAACUCU